GACGAACGCUGGCGGCGUGCUUAACACAUGCAAGUCUAACGGAAAGGCCCUGCUUUUGUGGGGUGCUCGAGUGGCGAACGGGUGAGUAACACGUGAGUAACCUGCCCUUGACUUUGGUAUAACUUCAGGAAACUGGGGCUAAUACCGGAUAUGAGCUCCUGCUGCAUGGUGGGGUUUGGAAAGUUUCGGCGGUUGGGGAUGGACUCGCGGCUUAUCAGCUUGUUGGUGGGGUAGUGGCUUACCAAGGCUUUGACGGGUAGCCGGCCUGAGAGGGUGACCGGCCACAUUGGGACUGAGAUACGGCCCAGACUCCUACGGGAGGCAGCAGUGGGGAAUAUUGCACAAUGGGCGGAAGCCUGAUGCAGCAACGCCGCGUGCGGGAUGACGGCCUUCGGGUUGUAAACCGCUUUCGCCUGUGACGAAGCGUGAGUGACGGUAAUGGGUAAAGAAGCACCGGCUAACUACGUG
RNAcentral lists this ribosomal RNA (468 nucleotides) under uncultured bacterium. RNAcentral describes it as "partial 16S ribosomal RNA". It matches the Rfam family "Bacterial small subunit ribosomal RNA", at positions 28 to 507 of the family's 1533-position model. The record is from RNAcentral.